Molecule: small nuclear RNA, 108 nt
Organism: Otolemur garnettii (small-eared galago)
Lineage: Eukaryota; Metazoa; Chordata; Mammalia; Primates; Galagidae
Source: Ensembl
GUGUCCACUUUGGGAGCACCAAUACUAAAAUUAGAACAAUACAGAGAAGGUUGGCAUGUCCCCUGAGCAAGGAUGACACACAAAUUUUGUGAAGCCUUCCAUAUUAAA